RNAcentral lists this long non-coding RNA (385 nucleotides) under Ornithorhynchus anatinus (platypus). Its description in RNAcentral is "lncRNA (ENSOANG00000042463.1)". The record is from RNAcentral. Lineage: Eukaryota; Metazoa; Chordata; Mammalia; Monotremata; Ornithorhynchidae.
AAGGGACAGAAGUGCAAUCACCGGUCUAUGCCACAAGAUUCCAGCCAAUUGCCGGUGAAUGACAGCACAGAAGAAAUCUACAAAGCACUCUUUCACAGUCUCCCACCGUGCCCGAGCCCAGGCAGAUCUCAGAGACCAAGUUCUUCACAAACCAACCUGUGUUACAAGAGCGGGAGCCAGAAACCUCCCUGUCCUCUCUCUCCUUCAGGAUUUGGAUUUGAGGAGGAACCGGAGCUCUGAGGAUAAUCCCAACCACUUUUCUCCAGGGUCCAGCCCCGCGGGAAGGACACUGCCUCACCCCCGGGACCCGGGGAUUUCCAUCAGCCCCUGCUUCCGCUCAGGAGGGAUUGGACCUGCAGCAGCGCGAGGACUUCUCGACUCUUAG